Molecule: ribosomal RNA, 253 nt
Filed under: uncultured prokaryote
Description: partial 16S ribosomal RNA
Rfam family: Bacterial small subunit ribosomal RNA
Source: RNAcentral
UACGGGGGGGGCAAGCGUUGUUCGGAAUUACUGGGCGUAAAGGGCGCGUAGGCGGUUGGAUAAGUCAGCUGUGAAAACCACGGGCUUAACUCGUGGCCUGCAGUUGAGACUGUCUGGCUUGAGUGUGGGAGAGGAGAGUGGAAUUCCUGGUGUAGCGGUGAAAUGCGUAGAUAUCAGGAGGAACACCGGUGGCGAAGGCGAAUCUCUGGACAGUUACUGACACUGAGGCACGAAGGCCAGGGGAGCAAACAGG